RNAcentral lists this ribosomal RNA (487 nucleotides) under marine sediment bacterium ISA-6334. RNAcentral describes it as "bacterial SSU rRNA". It matches the Rfam family "Bacterial small subunit ribosomal RNA", at positions 37 to 503 of the family's 1533-position model. The record is from RNAcentral.
UGGCGGCAGGCCUAACACAUGCAAGUCGAGCGGAAACGAGUUAUCUGAACCUUCGGGGAACGAUAACGGCGUCGAGCGGCGGACGGGUGAGUAAUGCCUAGGAAAUUGCCCUGAUGUGGGGGAUAACCAUUGGAAACGAUGGCUAAUACCGCAUGAUGCCUACGGGCCAAAGAGGGGGACCUUCGGGCCUCUCGCGUCAGGAUAUGCCUAGGUGGGAUUAGCUAGUUGGUGAGGUAAGGGCUCACCAAGGCGACGAUCCCUAGCUGGUCUGAGAGGAUGAUCAGCCACACUGGAACUGAGACACGGUCCAGACUCCUACGGGAGGCAGCAGUGGGGAAUAUUGCACAAUGGGCGCAAGCCUGAUGCAGCCAUGCCGCGUGUGUGAAGAAGGCCUUCGGGUUGUAAAGCACUUUCAGUCGUGAGGAAGGUGGUGUCGUUAAUAGCUGCAUUAUUUGACGUUAGCGACAGAAGAAGCACCGGCUAACUC